Molecule: ribosomal RNA, 779 nt
Filed under: Bacillus cereus
Lineage: Bacteria; Bacillati; Bacillota; Bacilli; Caryophanales; Bacillaceae
Description: bacterial SSU rRNA
Rfam family: Bacterial small subunit ribosomal RNA
Source: RNAcentral
GCUCAGGAUGAACGCUGGCGGCGUGCCUAAUACAUGCAAGUCGAGCGAAUGGAUUAAGAGCUUGCUCUUAUGAAGUUAGCGGCGGACGGGUGAGUAACACGUGGGUAACCUGCCCAUAAGACUGGGAUAACUCCGGGAAACCGGGGCUAAUACCGGAUAACAUUUUGAACCGCAUGGUUCGAAAUUGAAAGGCGGCUUCGGCUGUCACUUAUGGAUGGACCCGCGUCGCAUUAGCUAGUUGGUGAGGUAACGGCUCACCAAGGCAACGAUGCGUAGCCGACCUGAGAGGGUGAUCGGCCACACUGGGACUGAGACACGGCCCAGACUCCUACGGGAGGCAGCAGUAGGGAAUCUUCCGCAAUGGACGAAAGUCUGACGGAGCAACGCCGCGUGAGUGAUGAAGGCUUUCGGGUCGUAAAACUCUGUUGUUAGGGAAGAACAAGUGCUAGUUGAAUAAGCUGGCACCUUGACGGUACCUAACCAGAAAGCCACGGCUAACUACGUGCCAGCAGCCGCGGUAAUACGUAGGUGGCAAGCGUUAUCCGGAAUUAUUGGGCGUAAAGCGCGCGCAGGUGGUUUCUUAAGUCUGAUGUGAAAGCCCACGGCUCAACCGUGGAGGGUCAUUGGAAACUGGGAGACUUGAGUGCAGAAGAGGAAAGUGGAAUUCCAUGUGUAGCGGUGAAAUGCGUAGAGAUAUGGAGGAACACCAGUGGCGAAGGCGACUUUCUGGUCUGUAACUGACACUGAGGCGCGAAAGCGUGGGGAGCAAACAGGAUUAG